This 851-nucleotide ribosomal RNA is filed under the name Flavobacterium indicum. RNAcentral describes it as "bacterial SSU rRNA". It matches the Rfam family "Bacterial small subunit ribosomal RNA", at positions 99 to 953 of the family's 1533-position model. The record is from RNAcentral. Lineage: Bacteria; Pseudomonadati; Bacteroidota; Flavobacteriia; Flavobacteriales; Flavobacteriaceae.
CGCACGGGUGCGUAACGCGUAUGCAAUCUACCUUGUACAGGGGGAUAGCCCAGAGAAAUUUGGAUUAAUACCCCAUGGUGUUUAAGAGUGGCAUCACUUUUUUACUAAAGUUUAGGCGGUACAAGAUGAGCAUGCGUCCCAUUAGCUAGUUGGUAUGGUAACGGCAUACCAAGGCUACGAUGGGUAGGGGUCCUGAGAGGGAGAUCCCCCACACUGGUACUGAGACACGGACCAGACUCCUACGGGAGGCAGCAGUGAGGAAUAUUGGUCAAUGGUCGGAAGACUGAACCAGCCAUGCCGCGUGCAGGAAGACGGUCCUAUGGAUUGUAAACUGCUUUUAUACAGGAAGAAACCCUCUCACGAGUGGGAGCUUGACGGUACUGUAUGAAUAAGCAUCGGCUAACUCCGUGCCAGCAGCCGCGGUAAUACGGAGGAUGCGAGCGUUAUCCGGAAUCAUUGGGUUUAAAGGGUCCGUAGGCGGUUUAAUAAGUCAGUGGUGAAAUCUGGUCGCUCAACGAUCAAACUGCCAUUGAUACUGUUAGACUUGAAUAAUUGUGAAGUAACUAGAAUAUGUAGUGUAGCGGUGAAAUGCUUAGAUAUUACAUGGAAUACCAAUUGCGAAGGCAGGUUACUAACAAUUUAUUGACGCUGAUGGACGAAAGCGUGGGGAGCGAACAGGAUUAGAUACCCUGGUAGUCCACGCCGUAAACGAUGGAUACUAGCUGUUCGACGCAAGUUGAGUGGCUAAGCGAAAGUGAUAAGUAUCCCACCUGGGGAGUACGCACGCAAGUGUGAAACUCAAAGGAAUUGACGGGGGCCCGCACAAGCGGUGGAGCAUGUGGUUUAAUUCG